Molecule: ribosomal RNA, 1005 nt
Filed under: uncultured Blastococcus sp.
Lineage: Bacteria; Bacillati; Actinomycetota; Actinomycetes; Geodermatophilales; Geodermatophilaceae
Description: partial 16S ribosomal RNA
Source: RNAcentral
CUGGUCGAGGACACCGCGGUGCUCGCCGCGCCCAACGAGUUCACCCAGACCGUGCUCGAGUCCCGGAUGCGCCGGGUGCUGGCCGAGGCGCUGUCGGAGCAGUUCGGCCGGGACAUCCGCGUCGCCGUGCAGCUCGAGGACGCACCGGUCGCACCGCCGGCGGAUUCCCGCGACGACGAGCCGGUCCGCCGGCCGUGGUCGGCAGCCGAGGCGCAGCGCGCCGAGGAGGACCGCGCCACCCGGGACCGGGCCGACGACGGCCGCAGCGCCUUCGGGGUGCGCACCGACGUCGUGGGAACCGCCGCGCCCUGGGACCGCCAUGCCACCGCGGAGCGGCCGGCACCCGCGGACUUCCCCCCGGUGCGCGAGCUGCACCCGGCCGACGGGCCGCAGCGUCCGCCCGUGGACCGGGGCGCCCCCGAGGACUGGAGCACCACGUGGGGGAGCGGCACCAGCGACUUCGGCGCCGGCUCCGGUGGCCGCGACUGGGGUGGCGGGGACGACCGCAGCGCCGACGUGCUGCCCUUCGACGUCGACGCGUCGGCGAGCGAACAGCGCCGAUCCGGUGGUGGCUCCGGCGCCCGUCCCCGCCGACCGGAGUCCGGCCGGCCGGCCGGGCUGGACCCCGGCCUGAACUCCAAGUACGUCUUCGACUCCUUCGUCAUCGGCAACAGCAACCGGUUCGCCCACGCCGCGGCCGUGGCCGUGGCCGAGGCGCCGGCCCGCGCCUACAACCCGCUGUUCAUCUACGGGGAGUCCGGGCUGGGCAAGACACACCUGCUGCACGCGAUCGGCCACUACGCCGCGCGGAUGUUCCCCAACGUGCGGGUGCGGUACGUGAGCACCGAGGAGUUCACCAACGAGUUCAUCAACCUGGUGCACUCCGGCCGGGCCGAGGACUUCCGCCGGCGCUACCGGGACAUCGACUUCCUGCUGAUCGACGACAUCCAGUUCCUCGAGCGCGCCGAGCGCACGCAGGAGGAGUUCUUCCACACCUUCAACACG